Homo sapiens (human) is the source of this 8395-nucleotide RNA transcript. It is a transcript of the gene named transmembrane protein 67, with no coding region annotated. The transcript is spliced from 29 exons. The record is from RefSeq and is marked reviewed. Lineage: Eukaryota; Metazoa; Chordata; Mammalia; Primates; Hominidae.
GAGGCUUCCAGCGUCGGUACCAUGGCGACGCGCGGUGGGGCUGGGGUGGCAAUGGCGGUUUGGUCCCUCUUAUCCGCCCGGGCCGUGACCGCGUUCCUUCUGUUGUUCCUCCCUCGCUUCUUACAGGCCCAGACCUUCUCUUUCCCUUUCCAGCAGCCGGAGAAGUGCGACAACAACCAGUACUUUGAUAUCUCCGCCCUCUCGUGUGUUCCUUGUGGAGCUAACCAGAGGCAAGAUGCCCGAGGAACUUCAUGUGUAUGUCUACCAGGAUUUCAGAUGAUCUCUAAUAAUGGAGGACCUGCUAUUAUUUGUAAAAAGUGCCCAGAAAACAUGAAAGGUGUUACAGAAGAUGGCUGGAACUGCAUUUCUUGCCCUAGUGACUUAACUGCCGAAGGAAAAUGUCACUGUCCCAUUGGCCAUAUUUUAGUGGAAAGAGACAUUAAUGGAACAUUGUUGUCUCAAGCAACUUGUGAGCUCUGUGAUGGAAAUGAAAACUCUUUUAUGGUAGUAAAUGCUUUAGGAGACAGGUGCGUCCGAUGUGAGCCAACAUUUGUUAAUACCAGCAGGUCCUGUGCAUGUUCAGAACCUAACAUUUUAACAGGGGGAUUAUGUUUCAGCAGCACAGGGAAUUUUCCUCUACGUAGAAUUUCAGCUGCACGUUAUGGAGAAGUUGGCAUGUCUUUAACUUCAGAAUGGUUUGCAAAGUAUUUGCAAUCAUCAGCAGCUGCAUGUUGGGUAUAUGCCAAUCUAACAUCUUGUCAAGCUCUUGGAAAUAUGUGUGUGAUGAACAUGAAUUCUUACGACUUUGCCACAUUUGAUGCAUGUGGACUAUUUCAGUUUAUCUUUGAAAAUACUGCUGGACUGAGCACUGUUCAUUCUAUUUCAUUUUGGAGACAGAAUCUUCCUUGGCUGUUUUAUGGAGACCAGUUAGGAUUAGCACCUCAAGUGCUCAGUUCUACCUCUCUUCCUACAAAUUUCAGUUUUAAAGGAGAAAACCAGAAUACAAAACUGAAGUUUGUUGCUGCUUCCUAUGAUAUAAGAGGAAAUUUUCUCAAGUGGCAAACUUUAGAAGGAGGUGUUUUACAGCUUUGUCCAGACACAGAGACAAGGCUAAAUGCUGCUUAUUCAUUUGGAACAACCUACCAACAAAAUUGUGAGAUUCCUAUCUCUAAGAUCUUAAUUGACUUUCCCACUCCUAUAUUUUAUGAUGUGUACCUUGAAUAUACUGAUGAAAAUCAACAUCAAUAUAUUUUGGCUGUGCCUGUGUUAAACCUAAAUCUUCAACAUAAUAAGAUAUUUGUGAACCAAGACAGCAACUCUGGAAAGUGGCUUCUAACUCGGCGCAUUUUCUUAGUGGAUGCAGUAAGUGGACGAGAAAAUGACUUAGGAACUCAGCCAAGAGUAAUUCGAGUUGCUACUCAAAUAUCACUGAGUGUCCACCUUGUACCCAACACAAUAAAUGGAAACAUCUACCCUCCCUUAAUCACCAUUGCCUACAGUGACAUUGAUAUCAAAGAUGCCAACAGCCAGUCUGUGAAGGUUUCUUUCUCAGUCACAUAUGAAAUGGAUCAUGGAGAAGCACAUGUCCAGACAGAUAUUGCUUUGGGUGUAUUGGGUGGGCUAGCUGUUUUAGCAUCUCUUUUGAAGACAGCAGGAUGGAAGAGGCGCAUUGGGAGUCCCAUGAUUGAUUUACAGACAGUUGUGAAAUUCUUGGUGUACUAUGCUGGUGAUCUGGCCAAUGUUUUCUUUAUCAUCACAGUGGGAACAGGUCUUUACUGGCUUAUUUUCUUCAAAGCACAGAAGUCUGUGUCUGUUUUGCUGCCAAUGCCAAUUCAGGAAGAACGUUUUGUCACUUAUGUUGGAUGUGCCUUUGCUCUGAAGGCACUACAAUUUUUGCAUAAGCUCAUAUCCCAGAUUACAAUAGAUGUAUUCUUUAUUGAUUGGGAGCGACCUAAAGGAAAGGUUCUUAAAGCUGUUGAAGGUGAGGGUGGUGUACGAAGUGCCACUGUUCCUGUAAGCAUAUGGAGAACAUAUUUUGUAGCAAAUGAAUGGAAUGAAAUUCAGACUGUGAGAAAAAUUAAUUCACUCUUUCAAGUACUUACUGUCCUCUUCUUUUUGGAGGUUGUGGGAUUCAAGAACUUAGCAUUAAUGGACUCAUCUUCUAGUCUUUCUAGAAACCCACCUAGCUACAUAGCUCCUUAUAGCUGCAUUUUGAGAUAUGCAGUGUCUGCUGCUCUUUGGCUAGCCAUUGGAAUUAUACAGGUCGUGUUCUUUGCUGUCUUUUAUGAGAGAUUUAUAGAAGAUAAAAUUCGACAGUUCGUUGAUUUAUGCUCUAUGAGUAAUAUAUCAGUGUUUCUGUUAUCCCACAAAUGUUUUGGAUAUUACAUUCAUGGUAGAUCAGUACAUGGGCAUGCAGAUACUAAUAUGGAAGAAAUGAAUAUGAACCUUAAAAGAGAAGCGGAAAAUUUGUGUAGCCAGAGAGGUUUGGUACCCAACACAGAUGGUCAGACUUUUGAGAUUGCAAUUUCUAACCAGAUGAGACAACAUUAUGACAGAAUUCAUGAGACACUAAUAAGGAAAAAUGGUCCUGCUAGACUACUGAGUUCAUCAGCAAGUACUUUUGAGCAGAGUAUAAAAGCAUAUCAUAUGAUGAAUAAAUUUCUUGGCUCCUUCAUUGACCAUGUUCAUAAGGAAAUGGAUUACUUUAUAAAAGAUAAGUUGCUUCUUGAAAGAAUUCUUGGAAUGGAAUUCAUGGAACCAAUGGAAAAAAGCAUCUUUUACAAUGAUGAAGGUUAUUCUUUCAGCAGUGUCCUGUAUUAUGGAAAUGAAGCUACUCUUCUUAUUUUUGAUCUGCUGUUCUUCUGUGUUGUGGAUUUGGCUUGCCAAAAUUUUAUUUUAGCAUCCUUCCUUACAUAUCUACAACAAGAGAUUUUUAGAUAUAUCCGUAAUACAGUAGGACAAAAGAAUUUGGCAUCCAAAACAUUGGUGGAUCAAAGAUUUUUGAUUUAACUUCCUGAAUAAAUAACUUAAAGACUCAGUAUAAUCAUGGCCAAAAAAAAGUCAUGAUAUCAGAAACUCCAGUAAGCACCCAGGCUCUGCCCUGGCUCCUGGUGCUCCUGCCUCCUGACUGGUGCUUUCCCCCAUGGCUGUGCAUGGUGUGCCGUGCCAUCUGUUUCUAGGACCUGUGAGUGUAAGAAACUUUCCUGUCUCCCCUUGUCAUUCCUCACUCAUCACUACAUAAAAGGACACAGAACAGUAUGUUUGGGGGCUUUGGAGGGCAAUGAGGUUGGAAAGGAAAACAGGAGUCACAUCAUUAAAGGUUUUUAUGUUGGGCCACAUCUCCAUCACGUGCAUGGAGUGUUUAACCAAGUUGGAGAUAAGUGUUCCUGCUCUCUGUUCCUUGGCUGCAUGUUGUGGUUUGCAAGAAAAUACAUUGCCCCACUGCCCAUAAGAGAGGCACCAAGGGUAGUAGUUGAGAGCACAGACCCUGGAGCCAGAUUGGCCUGUGUUCAAGUCCCGGCUGCACCACUUACUGGCUGUGCAAUUUGGGCAAGUCAUGAUUAAAUUGUCUCAUCUGUAAAAGAGAUAAAUAGUACCUACCUCAAAGACUUAUUGGGAAGAUUAAAUGAGUUAUUGUGUACAGUGCUUAGAAAAGUGCCUGGCACAUAGUAAAUGCUAUGUGAAUAUAAGCUGUGUAGUAGUAGUAAUAGUAGUAGUAGUUCCCAUUAAUAUUUAGUGCAGAAAGAGAGACCCAGAUUAGACCCACUAGAGACUACAUUAAGACACUGUCUCAUUGCUGGGUGUGCUAGAAGUAGCAAUAGACAAACUGCCUGCCACACAGUUGUCUAUGGGUUUUAAAAAAUAACUGCUUCUGUUAUUUUUAUAAUAAUCAUUGCUUCCAUUGUAAUUAUUAUUGUUACAAGGAAUACAUGGCUGUGGCCCAAGGAUAAAUAAAUAAUCACAGAUGAUCAGUAGAAUGAAGUCCAGGGACAAGUCCACGGGUGUGUGGAUAUGUAUAUACACACACAUGACAAGGGUAGCAUGCAGUGCAGUAAGGGAAAGGUGUUUUUUAGAUGUGCCAUUGAAUAUCCCAGUGGAAAAAAUGCAUACCUCUAUGUCACACUUACACAAAAAUCAAUUUCAGGUAGAUGCUAAAUUUAAAUGUGAAAGGGUAAAUGGUAAAGUUUCUAGAAGAUAAAAGGGGAAUAUAUUCAUGACUUUCAUGUAGGUCUUUUAGUUUUUUAUUUUGUUUUGAGACAGGGUCACUCUCUGUUGCCCAGGUUUGAGUGCAGUGGCACAAUCAUGGCUCACUGUAGACUCGACCUCCCAGGCUCAAACGAUCCUCCCACCUCAGCCUCCAGAGUAGUUGGGAUUACAGGCACAUGCCUCCAUGCUUGGAUAAUUUUAAAUUUUUUUGUAGAGACAGAGUCUCAUUAUGUUGCCCAGGCUGGACUCAGAGACUCCUAGCCUCAAGCGAUCCUCCACCCUCAUUCUCCCAAAGCACUAGGAUUACACACCUGUGUGUGAGCCACUGCACCUAGCCUGCCAAGAUUUCUUAAGACCCCAAAAAGCCUAGGCAUGGUGACUCAUGCCUGUAAUCCCAGCACCUUGGGAGGCCAAGGCGGGUGGAUCACUUGAUCUCAGGAGUUCAAGACAAGCCUGGGCAACAUGGUGAAACCCUGUCUCUACCAAAAAUACAAAAAAUUAGCCAGGUAUGGUGGCAUGUGCCUGUAGUCCCAGCUACUCAGGAAGGAGGAUCACUUGAGCCCAGGGAGGUGGAAAUUGUAGUAAACCAAGAUCACACCAUUGAACUCCAGCCUGCCUGGGUGACACAGUGAGACCCUGUCUGUCUCAAAAUAAGACCCAAAAAAGAUGAACCAUAAAAUAAAAGAUUGGUAAAUUGGACUUUACAAUUUGUGGUAAAUUUAUACUUUUGUAAAUUUAUAUGUGUAAAUUUGGAAUUUACAUUAAAAUCAGGAACACUGUACAUCAGAAGACCCCAUUAUAAGAAUGAAAAGGCAAACCUCAAUCUGAGAAAAAAAAUUGCAAACAGAUUAGACAAAGCACUCCUGUCCUGAAUAAAGAACUCAUCACAUCAAUAAGGAAGACAGGCAACACAAUAGAAAAAUGAGCAAGGCUCAAGUAGCCAUCCCUCAAAAGAAGGUUUCCAAAUGACCAAUAAACACCUGUGAAAAGUGCUCAACCUUGUUAGUCAUAAGAAUGCAAAAUAAAACCGUGUGAUACCACUACAAAACCAACAAAAUGGCUAAAAGUUAAAAACUUAAAAUACCAUGUGUGGGCAAGAAUGUGUGAAGCAAAAGAACUUUCAUACUGUUUACUAUGUAAAGUGAGGGGAUUCGCGUUAAUCUGUAACUUUUGGUUGGACUAUCCUGAAUCUUAAAGACAGGAAGACUCAAGUUUGUAUUUGACCAAACCCAUGGCUGACAGCAGAUGGCAGUGGAGUGCACAGUAACCUUUUCAGGACCAGGCUGGGGCCCUUCUGACUGUAGCUCAAAGGUAGGUGUGCUCACAGGACGGCGGAGGCAAGAGGAACGCCAUUCUCCCCAUCUUCCACUUCACUCUUUGUCCCCCUCCUAACUUCUGUCGUCUCUCCCUUUACUGCAUCAGAGUGCUGGGCAGCUCAGAUGACUACAGUGCAUUCUAAAUCUAGUGCUGAGUUUUUAAAACCCAGGUUAGGGAAUUGAAUGCUAAAAUAAAGAUGAUAUACUUUCAUCCAUCUCCUAGGGAAUGGGAUCACAAAACAGGUCAUGCUUCAGAAAAAAUUUAAGAACGAAUUAUCUAAUGAUUCAGGAAUCUUCCUUCAUUUUAAUGAAAUACAUAUUACAUUAAAAUCUCUUUAAAAAUCAAACUCUUAUCUAAAGUAUAUAAUGCCCUUUAUCUAUAUACAAUUUCCCCAAAUGGGACACUAGGUGCUAAGGAUAUGGAGGUAGAUAAGACAUUGCCUCUACUUUUACAGAGCUUAUAGUUAAAAGACAGAACAACAAAUCAAUAAAAGCAUAGUAAGUACUGUGUUCUUAUCCUAUUGCUUCUGUAACAAAUUACCAAAAUUGAGUGGCUUUAAGCAACAUAAAAGUAUCAUCUUACAAUUCUGGGUGGCAGAAGUCUGAAAUGGGUUUCACUGCACUGAAAUCAACUUGUCAGCCUGGCUGGGUUUCUUCUGGAGGCUCUAAGGAAGACCCCCUCUUUGACUUGGAAGGACUUCUGUGAUUACAUUGGGCCCACUGGAUAAUUCAGGAUAAUUUUCCCCAUUUCAAGAUCCUUAGCUUAAUCACAUUGGUGAAGUCCCCUUUGCAGUGUAAAGUAACAUAUUUAUAGGCUCUGGGGAUUAGGACCUGGAUUUUUUUUUUUUGUGUGGGUGGGUAGGGGUGUGUGGGGGCGUUAUUUUGCCUAAUAUAGAACACUAUCUAUCUGUAGGGUACAAGAACAUAAAACUAGCAUACUUAACGAUAGUUUGGGUAGUCUGCAAAGGCCUGUGAAAGGGAUACUUUAACUGAGACAAAGCAAGAGCAGAAGCUGGCCAGGACUAUAGGAUGGUAAUGAGGCUGAAAUUUUCCAGAUAGAAGGAACAGCAUGUGCAAAGGCCCUGAUGUGGGGGCAUCCUUGUCUACAGUGGGUCUAGAUUGACCAUUUGACAGAAUUGACCAGAUUCGAAAAGGGAUUUACUUAGAGUCAAGAAUAUAGUUUCAAAAUUAGAAGAAAAUUAAGUGCCUUAUUCCAUUUUAUUUGGGUUUUCAGUUUUUCCCAUUACAGCAAACAGAACAAGAUUUUGUCUUUUUUUUUUUUUUAGCUAGCUGAAUGUCUUUCAAUCCACUGAACAGUUCUCAUUUUUUAGAGCCUCUCUCAAAGCCAUCAUUACACACAGUUUUCAAAGGAUUGUUACCUAGAAGGGUGACAGACCAAGCUCAGAACACAAAGCCAAAGUCAAUGAUCUAAUCCUGUUUGGGAAAGGUCUGCUCCUUGCUGGGGUCAGCUGUUAUUCUGAUCUUGUUUUCAUGUUGGCAGUUUUCUUUUGCAGCUGCUCUCAUUGUGAGGAGUUAAGGGACAGCUUGUAGCAGACCAGGACUUUUAAAAAAAGAUUUUAAAAUGAAUAAUAGAGCUCUUUUCCUCUUAUGUCACUUAUUGAGCUUUGAAACUCAAGCCAGCUGAUUGGAGAUAAUCAUGGCCAGUGUUUGCAUGGUGCUUUGAUUUUUGAUAUUUUAAUAAGAUCUUAGAUGGCUUUCCAUAUAUUCUUUCUAGCUACCUUGUAUCACACAAGCACAACAAUGCCAGCUGCCAGGGAGACUCAUUAAAUUGACAUUUUAAAUAUUUCUGUAAAUUACUAGAACAUUUUAGCUUUAACUCCCGGAGGGUAAAAGGCUAGAAGAUUUUGUGCACAAGAGUAUCUGUCCUGUUCUCUAAAGAAAAUGGAACUCCAAACCCAUUCCUCUUAUUCUGUCUGCUCUCCUCGGUUAUAAAGCUGCAGGAAGAGCCAUCAUUUAAUCACUUUUUUUUUUCUGUAUGCUUAGGAUAAAGAGGCACAGUAGAAUUAUAGCUAAGAGCAAAGACUUUGAAUUCUGACAGGGCUGGCUUUGAAUUCCCAACUUCUCUAUUUCCUUUGCAUAUGAUCAUAAGCAAACUCUCCCACCUCUAUGAGUCUCUUUUUUUGUUGUUUUUGUUUGUUUGUUUUGAGAUAGGGUCUCACUCUGUUGCCCAGGCUGGAGUGCAGUGGCACAAUCUCGACUCAUUGCAACCUCUGCCUGCGGGUUCAAGCAAUUCUCCCACCUCAGCCUCUUGAGUAGCUGGGAUUACAGGCAUGUGCCACCAUACGCAGCUAAUUUUUUGUAUUUUUAGUAGAGACGGGGUUUUACCAUGUUGGCCAGGCUGGUCUCGAACUCCUGGACCAAAAAUGAUCCACCCACUUUGGCCUCCCACACUGCUGGGAUCACAGGCAUGAGCCACCACACCCAGCCUAUGAGCCUCUUCUUUAUCUGUCAACCUGGGUAAUAUCUGCCUCAAGACCGUUGUCAUAAGGAUUGAAGGAGAUAAUAGAAGUACAGUUGUUAGCACGGUGCCAGGAAUAGGUCAGUGUACAAAGAAUACAGUACGUCAUUAUGACUGAAUUAUUAAUUUGACAGCCACAAAACAAAUUCAUGUGACACAUUUACUUAUUUGACUGCUUCUGUGGUAUGUCUGAGGUGAGUAUAGGUGCGACAUUCCAGAGAAGGAGAGCUGGCGCAAGGACAGUGCUCCAGAAAAAACAGUAAUAGUUUCAACUGACCACAGGCUCAAUAUGGAACAACACUGGGAUGACAUUGUUAAUGUAAUUUAAGGCCACAUUAAUUGAGUGUCCAAAAUAAAGGAGGAAAUGGCCCCAUUGGGUGCUAUUCACACCUUA